This 195-nucleotide small nuclear RNA is filed under the name Diplodia corticola. Its description in RNAcentral is "Botryosphaeria corticola U2 spliceosomal RNA". It matches the Rfam family "U2 spliceosomal RNA". From Rfam's summary of the family: U2 is a small nuclear RNA (snRNA) component of the spliceosome (involved in pre-mRNA splicing). Complementary binding between U2 snRNA (in an area lying towards the 5' end but 3' to hairpin I) and the branchpoint sequence (BPS) of the intron results the bulging out of an unpaired adenosine, on the BPS, which initiates a nucleophilic attack at the intronic 5' splice site, thus starting the first of two transesterification reactions that mediate splicing. Lineage: Eukaryota; Fungi; Ascomycota; Dothideomycetes; Botryosphaeriales; Botryosphaeriaceae. The record is from Rfam by way of RNAcentral.
UCAGCUCUCUUUGCCUUUUGGCUUAGAUCAAGUGUAGUAACUGUUCUUGCUAGUUUAAUCUCUAGUACGCCCUACGGGGUACACUCACUUCUUUAGAUUAGUUUUUGGAACCUGAUCGGUGGCCGCUGAGCUCCGCUUAUGCCACUGAUCACAGUGUCGCCUGUAUUGCACUGUCUCGGGCUGAUGCGAACAACU